AUUAGAAAAAAAUUACAAUGCAGUGGGCACGAUAGUUUAAUAAUCAAUUUGUGCCAGUUUAUGAUAUUCUAAUGUACUACAGCUAAUUCAAGAUUGCAUUUUACCUUAUCAUCCUCGAAGACUACGUCAAAGAUCAUUGCUUUAUGAGUAUUCAAUGUAAAUAUGUUUUUUAAUAGAAUAAAAAAUUACAAUGCAUUUUUAACAUUCCUUCAAAUUGUGCAGGAAUGGGUAGAAUUAAAUAUAAUCCAGUUCAAGACGUAUACAUUUGUUUUGCCAUGAUAUACCCAGAAAUUUGGUUUUACAUUAUUUCACCUUAUUUUUUGUAACUAUUUAAAUUUUCAGCACAAAGAUGAUCAUUGAAAGGGGAAAGAAUAUUUUUCAGUUUUUAUUUAAAUUGUCAUCACAAAGAUGAUCAAUGAAAGAGGAAGAAUAUUUUUCAGAUUUUAUUUAAAUUUAAUCACAAAGAUGAUCAUUAAAAAAGGAAAUAAUAUUUUUCAGUAUUCUGCUAAAUGCAGAUUCAUUUAUACAAAAAUCCAAUGAUGUGUGUGAGAUUAGGGUAAAGAUCAUUUUCUUACUUUUCAAUGUGUGGGAGAAUCCAAUACAAUCCACUUCGUGAAGGAUACAUUCCCUAUUAUCAAGCUACACGGUUUUUUUCAUUUUGCCUAACUCUAUUUAUACAAAAAUAAAAUGAUGUGUGUUAAUGUUUUUUUAACAUUCUCAAAAUUUUUGUAGGUAUAGGAAAUUCGACGGUAUACUGUCUAAUUCCAGAUUGGGUUAAUUUUCAUCAUACUUGCUGGGUAGCUUGAAAGUCUUCAGUUUGUAUUGCAAAUUUGAAUAUGUUUUUGACAUUCGUGAAGGAUACAUUCCCUAUUAUCAAGGUACACGGUUUCCUCUCAAAUGUGGUUUCAUUUUAUUUAUUUAUUUAUUUAUUUUGAGUUAUUUAUAUUUUCCACACAAACAUGAUCAUUGGAAAAGGUAUAGGAAAUUCGACGCUAUACCGUCUAAUUCCAGAUUGGGUUAAUUUUCAUCAUACUUGCUGGGUAGCUUGAAAGUCUUCAGUUUGCAUUGAAAAUUUGAAUAGGUUUUUGACAUUCUACUGUACUACAGCUAAUUCGAGCUUUUUUCUCAUCAUCUUCAUUUACAGUUAUAUAGAAAAUUUGUUCUUAGUGUUUUAUGUUUUCUACAUUCUACAGUAAUCCAGCUAAUUCAAGAAUGAGUUUUACUUUAUUAUCUUUGGAGAUUAUGUUAAAGAUCAUUUUCUUACUUUUCAAUGUGUGGGAGAAUCCAAUACAAUCCAGAUCGCGAAGGGUACAUUCCCUAUUAUCAAGCUACACGGUUUCCACUCAAAUCUGGUUUGAUUUUAUUUAUUUUUAUUUUUUUUAAUUAUUUAUUUUUUCCACACAAAGAUGAUCAUUGGAAAAGGUAACAGAAUUUUUUUUAAUUUUGCCUAUUAUUUAUACAAAAAUCCAAUGUGUGUUAAUUUUUUUUAACAUUCUCAGAAUUUUCGUAUGUAUAGGAUAUUCGAGGGUAUACCGGCUAAUUCCAGAUUGUAUUCAUUUUCAUCAUAUUGCUGAGUAGCUUGAACGUCUUCAGUUUCCUUUGCUAAUGUGAAUAGGUAUUUCAUUUAAAAAUAAAUGUAAGCCAGUGUGUUCAAUUUUGUUUUCCUUAGUUUAUGCAGGUUUUUGAAAUUCUAGUGUACUACAGCUAAUUUAGCUUUUUCUCUUAUUCUUCGUUUACUAUCAUAAAGAAAGUUGUUUGUAAUGGUGAAUGUAAAUAUAUAUUGUUUUAUUUUAAAAAUACAUUACCAUGUGAUCAAUUUUGUUUUAUAUUCCCUUUAUUUAUGCAGGUUUUUGAUAUUCUAGUGUACUCCAGCUAAUUCAAAAUUGACUUUUAUCUUAUCCUUCUCAAACUAUCAUAAAAAUCAUUGGUUUGUAAUCUUGCAAUGCAAAUUACUAUUAUUAUAUUUUUUUAAUUUGAAUGAUCGAGCAAGUACGGAUUUUCUUUAAUUCUCUUAAUUUGUGAAGGUUUUUUACAUUCAAGGUACUCCAACAAAUUCGAGUUUUUUUCUUAUACUCUUUGCCCUGUGAAAAUUGCCCUGCAGUGUUACAUGUAAAUUUGUAUUUUGAUUGACAAAAUAAAUUCAGUGUAAUGUGUUGUAUUUUGUUUUUAAUUCCGUUAAUUUCUGUAGGUUUUAUUUAUUUUAAUGUACUCCACCUAAAUCAUGAUUUUUACCUUAUCAUCUUCACAGACUGUGCUAAAGAUCAUUUAUUUGUACUGUUGGUUAUAAAUAAGUUUUUUUUACUUAAAUUUAAAAAAAAUGUAAUUUCUUAACAUGUUCACUAUGGUACAGAAAAUUGGUUCAAAGUGUAGAAUGUAAAUAAAAUUUUUAAUUGAAAAAAAAAAAGUUAAAAAAUUGGUUAGAAGUUUAUUUUUUUAUUAUAAGUAUUCAGUGUAUGAACGAUUGGAGAUAGAGAUAAUGGGAGUUUUUCAAUUUUUUUUGUUCUUUUGCAGGUUUAAUUCUAUAAAAUUAGAUUCGUUUGUGUAUAACUGUUUGACAUACUUAUAAAUGUUUUAUGUUUGGCACAUUCAUGUGUAUUCCAUCUAAUUAAAGAAUGUCCUUUUUUCACCUUCUUUGUGAUUGUGUUGAAGGUCUUUGGUUUGCUAUGUUGAAUGUAAUUUUAUCUUUUUAAUCGAAUUAAUGUGCAGGUCGUACUAAUUGUGUUAAUUAUGACUCCAUUCUCAGCUACUUAUGAAGUAGCUUUGGGGAGCUGUUAGCAAAUAAUUACUUAAGUAAUUAUAUAUUAAUCCAUAUAUGGAUGUGUUUAGUAGACAUAAUUGAUUGCAAUAAUUAUUUCAAUUAAUUAUACUCUUUAUCUAAGGUCUUGGUUGAAAUGAACAAGUUUGUGUUUUAAAUUUGAACAUUUAAUAUGAUAAGUAUAAAAAAAUGAUAAGUAAACAAUUUUACCAUUUCAUGUCCUUUUUUCAGAUGAUGAUCUUUUCACUGAAUUGAAUUUUUUCAACACAAAUUUCUCAUUUUUAUCCAUGCUGAUUGCACCAAUUAUUAUUUUUUUGAACUUUAAUAGCUAAUAUCGUAACUAACAAUUUCUCAUUUUUGCAGGUCUUACCUAUACCACUGUUUUGUACACACAACACUUCAGAAUUUUUGAAUUGAUUUAUGUAUCCCCCUGUCUUAAUUGUAACAAUAAAAGGUUUC
Long non-coding RNA from Cimex lectularius (bed bug), 3214 nucleotides. RefSeq lists it as uncharacterized. The record is from RefSeq and is a predicted model, not a curated record. The transcript has 7 exons. Lineage: Eukaryota; Metazoa; Arthropoda; Insecta; Hemiptera; Cimicidae.